RNAcentral lists this transfer RNA (66 nucleotides) under Aphanius dispar dispar. RNAcentral describes it as "tRNA-Cys". Lineage: Eukaryota; Metazoa; Chordata; Actinopteri; Cyprinodontiformes; Aphaniidae. The record is from RNAcentral.
AUCCUUGAGGUGUUUACAUAUAAGAUUGCAAAUCUUAAGUAUCACUAGUAUUAUCUGCCGGGGCUU